CCUACGGGUGGCAGCAGUGAGGAAUAUUGGUCAAUGGCCGGAAGCCUGAACCAGCCAAGCCGCGUGAAGGACGAAGGUGCCAAGCAUUGUAAACUUCUUUUGUCAAGGGACAAAAUCAGGCUCGAGCGCCUGACCGAGCGUACUUUAAGAACAAGCAUCGGCUAACUCCGUGCCAGCAGCCGCGGUAAUACGGGGGAUGCGCGGGUUAUCCGGAUUUAUUGGGUUAAAAGGGAGCGUAGGCGGACUGUUAAGUCAGCGGUAAAAGCCCGGGGCUCAACCCCGGCGAGCCGUUGAAACUGGCGGUCUUGAGAUGUCGAGAGGUAUGCGGAAUGCGCAGUGUAGCGGUGAAAUGCUUAGAUAUUGCGCAGAACUCCGAUUGCGAAGGCAGCAUACCGGAGGCGAUCUGACGCUGAGGCACGAAAGCGUGGGUAUCGAACAGGAUUAGAUACCCCUGUAGUC
This 459-nucleotide ribosomal RNA is filed under the name uncultured bacterium. Its description in RNAcentral is "partial 16S ribosomal RNA". It matches the Rfam family "Bacterial small subunit ribosomal RNA", at positions 338 to 795 of the family's 1533-position model. The record is from RNAcentral.